CUCAUUUCCGGGUCAGAAUAAACAUAGCAACAUUACUAAUAUUGACUGGAAUAUGAAUGGAAGCAUUGAAAAAAGGAGAAAAAAUAAUGUAAUUUGUUCUCGUAACUUGUUUCUAGAUGAAAUUUGUCCCAAGUUUGGGAUAGUUUCAUCUCCAAAGUUUGGAGAAACUUGAUUUAAACGAAAACUCAAUUCAAAUUUCGCCCAAACGUUUUCAUUUUGACGCGGGAUGGUUUGAUCACAAUUCAGAAAAUGAAAUGAACAAUCAGAUAAUACAUAUCUGAUUCAACUGCUCUAUUACGAGAAAAUCUUGGAAAGACAUAAAGAAAUCUUGCAAUCUGCAAGUUUAUAUGUGAUGAUCUGUGUGAGAAAAAAAAAUUGUUAACAAAUUCAUUGAAAUAAAAGAUUUUUACAUGAAAUCCGUGACAGGAGAACCCAGAACAAAAGUUACUUCUAAAAAAUGAAAGCUAUUUAUCAUGAAAAUAUUUUAGUAUUCGUUCAAUAUUAUUUAUAAUUACAAUUUAUACCAUUAUUUUACAAUGAAAAUAAUUUUUUUUACUUUGUAGAAUGUGUGAAACAUUGGCUUUUGGCCAACUACCGUGAAGAUUGGCUGGAAAAGUAUAAUUUGCAAGACAUUUUAAAAAAAUUAGAGUCUCUUAUCUUGGAGAAAAAAUAAGUUAUACAAUUAAACAAUAUGAAGAAAAAAAAAUAAAAGAGAAAAAAUUGGAAAG
Phymastichus coffea is the source of this 728-nucleotide long non-coding RNA. RefSeq lists it as uncharacterized. NCBI's taxonomy places the organism in Eukaryota, Metazoa, Arthropoda, Insecta, Hymenoptera, Eulophidae. The record is from RefSeq and is a predicted model, not a curated record. The transcript is spliced from 3 exons.